GUGUCAGCCGCCGCGGUAAUACAGAGGGUGCGAGCGUUAAUCGGAUUUACUGGGCGUAAAGCGUGCGUAGGCGGCUGAUUAAGUCGGAUGUGAAAUCCCUGAGCUUAACUUAGGAAUUGCAUUCGAUACUGGUCAGCUAGAGUAUGGGAGAGGAUGGUAGAAUUGCAGGUGUAGCGGUGAAAUGCGUAGAGAUCUGGAGGAAUACCGAUGGCGAAGGCAGCCAUCUGGCCUAAUACUGACGCUGAGGUACGAAAGCAUGGGGAGCAAACAGGAUUAGAUACCCCCGUAGUCC
Molecule: ribosomal RNA, 292 nt
Filed under: uncultured Acinetobacter sp.
Lineage: Bacteria; Pseudomonadati; Pseudomonadota; Gammaproteobacteria; Moraxellales; Moraxellaceae
Description: partial 16S ribosomal RNA
Rfam family: Bacterial small subunit ribosomal RNA
Source: RNAcentral